AGUGAACGCUGGCGGUAGGCCUAACACAUGCAAGUCGAACGGCAGCACAGUAAGAGCUUGCUCUUACGGGUGGCGAGUGGCGGACGGGUGAGGAAUACAUCGGAAUCUACUUUUUCGUGGGGGAUAACGUAGGGAAACAUACGCUAAUACCGCAUACGACCUACGGGUGAAAGCAGGGGAUCUUCGGACCUUGCGCGAUUGAAUGAGCCGAUGUCGGAUUAGCUAGUUGGCGGGGUAAAGGCCCACCAAGGCGACGAUCCGUAGCUGGUCUGAGAGGAUGAUCAGCCACACUGGAACUGAGACACGGUCCAGACUCCUACGGGAGGCAGCAGCGGGGAAUAUUGGACAAUGGGCGCAAGCCUGAUCCAGCAAUACCGCGUGGGUGAAGAAGGCCUUCGGGUUGUAAAGCCCUUUUGUUGGGAAAGAAAAGCAGCAGGUUAAUACCCCGCUGUUCUGACGGUACCAAAAGAAUAAGCACCGGCUAACUUCGUG
RNAcentral lists this ribosomal RNA (492 nucleotides) under uncultured bacterium. RNAcentral describes it as "partial 16S ribosomal RNA". It matches the Rfam family "Bacterial small subunit ribosomal RNA", at positions 29 to 507 of the family's 1533-position model. The record is from RNAcentral.